RNAcentral lists this ribosomal RNA (492 nucleotides) under uncultured bacterium. RNAcentral describes it as "partial 16S ribosomal RNA". It matches the Rfam family "Bacterial small subunit ribosomal RNA", at positions 29 to 507 of the family's 1533-position model. The record is from RNAcentral.
AGUGAACGCUGGCGGUAGGCCUAACACAUGCAAGUCGAACGGCAGCACAGUAAGAGCUUGCUCUUACGGGUGGCGAGUGGCGGACGGGUGAGGAAUACAUCGGAAUUUACUUUUUCGUGGGGGAUAACGUAGGGAAACUUACGCUAAUACCGCAUACGACCUACGGGUGAAAGCAGGGGAUCUUCGGACCUUGCGUGAUUGAAUGAGCCGAUGUCGGAUUAGCUAGUUGGCGGGGUAAAGGCCCACCAAGGCGACGAUCCGUAGCUGGUCUGAGAGGAUGAUCAGCCACACUGGAACUGAGACACGGUCCAGACUCCUACGGGAGGCAGCAGUGGGGAAUAUUGGACAAUGGGCGCAAGCCUGAUCCAGCCAUACCGCGUGGGUGAAGAAGGCCUUCGGGUUGUAAAGCCCUUUUGUUGGGAAAGAAAAGCAGCAGGUUAAUACCCCGCUGUUCUGACGGUACCCAAAGAAUAAGCACCGGCUAACUUCGUG